CACUUGGAAUCUAGUAUUGUGUAAGUGUUGAUGAUGCUACCAGAUUUGAAGGAAUCACAAAUAUUUUUUGUAUCUAGUAUCUGCUGGUGAUUGAAGUGUUUCCAAAAACACUUGGUGCCCUGAUCUGUAAUGACACUGUUACACAUGUUAUCAUUUUUUUUUGUCUCCUAUAUGAAGAAAGCUACAAUCUCUGUAGUAUAAGGUCU
This 206-nucleotide long non-coding RNA is filed under the name Phaseolus vulgaris (common bean). Its description in RNAcentral is "long non-coding RNA (PVUL_LNC000648)". Lineage: Eukaryota; Viridiplantae; Streptophyta; Magnoliopsida; Fabales; Fabaceae. The record is from RNAcentral.